AUCUGAUGUGGAAUAUGGCUUUGGUUUGGUGCAGUUUUUAUCUGUUUUACUUAUGGUUUUUCUGGCUGCACGUGUGAGGUGAUCUGAAGUGGAAUAUAGGGCAUUUUGUCCAAGGUUUUGGUGCAGUUUUGUUUAUGAAAAUCACUGUUGCUAUGCUGUUGGGGAUCUACUACAUGCUGAAUUCAUUUCAGCUCCUAGUAGCUAGGAGUCUUUCCUUUCUUUUGCUGGCAGUUUUGUGCCGUUUGUUCUCUAGUUUAGCUUUGGAUGCCGUGAUGUAAUGACUCUAUUGUUAUUUAUAUAUUUUU
Molecule: long non-coding RNA, 305 nt
Filed under: Lotus japonicus
Lineage: Eukaryota; Viridiplantae; Streptophyta; Magnoliopsida; Fabales; Fabaceae
Description: long non-coding RNA (LJAP_LNC000389)
Source: RNAcentral